GUUGGCCCCAGAUGACUUUUAAAAUGUAAACAUCAUUGAAAAAGUUCCAAAUUAUCUCCCUUUGGUGGAAAAAUGCCAUUUUUUUUUGGCUUUAAAAUUGAAAUAUCUCUUUUAACUCAUCGGUGACCUAUAUUUUUUAAUAUAAUUUCGAAAUAUGCUGUACUUAAACUAAAUUAUUGUAAAAUUUGAGCGAUUUCUGUAAUAAAUUUCUUUUUUUAUUUCGAUAUUACCUUUAUUUCUCCUAUUAGUUCAACAGAAAAAAAAAACACUUUUACAAAGAUGUAUUCUUCUUUCGAAGGCUGAUUGUGAGCGCAAAUGAACGGUGACCCCAUUUUUUUAUUUUAUUUUUCUAUUAACUAUAAGAUAAAGUUCAUUUAUAGAAAAAUAUAGAGAAAUCCUAUAUAAAUUAUUUAGACCCGCGAACCCCC
RNAcentral lists this long non-coding RNA (428 nucleotides) under Mytilus galloprovincialis (Mediterranean mussel). The record is from RNAcentral. Lineage: Eukaryota; Metazoa; Mollusca; Bivalvia; Mytilida; Mytilidae.